RNAcentral lists this ribosomal RNA (436 nucleotides) under uncultured bacterium. RNAcentral's name for it is "bacterial SSU rRNA". It matches the Rfam family "Bacterial small subunit ribosomal RNA", at positions 340 to 786 of the family's 1533-position model. The record is from RNAcentral.
UACGGGAGGCAGCAGUGGGGAAUAUUGCACAAUGGGCGGAAGCCUGAUGCAGCGACGCCGCGUGGGGAUGACGGCCUUCGGGUUGUAAACUCCUUUCGACAGGGACGAAGCUUUUUGUGACGGUACCUGUAUAAGAAGCACCGGCUAACUACGUGCCAGCAGCCGCGGUAAUACGUAGGGUGCGAGCGUUGUCCGGAAUUACUGGGCGUAAAGAGCUCGUAGGUGGUUUGUCGCGUCGUCUGUGAAAUUCCGGGGCUUAACUCCGGGCGUGCAGGCGAUACGGGCAUAACUUGAGUGCUGUAGGGGAGACUGGAAUUCCUGGUGUAGCGGUGAAAUGCGCAGAUAUCAGGAGGAACACCGAUGGCGAAGGCAGGUCUCUGGGCAGUUACUGACGCUGAGGAGCGAAAGCAUGGGUAGCGAACAGGGAUUAGAUACC